UAGGGAAUCUUCGGCAAUGGACGAAAGUCUGACCGAGCAACGCCGCGUGAGUGAAGAAGGUUUUCGGAUCGUAAAACUCUGUUGUUAGAGAAGAACAAGGACGUUAGUAACUGAACGUCCCCUGACGGUAUCUAACCAGAAAGCCACGGCUAACUACGUGCCAGCAGCCGCGGUAAUACGUAGGUGGCAAGCGUUGUCCGGAUUUAUUGGGCGUAAAGUGAGCGCAGGCGGUUUCUUAAGUCUGAUGUGAAAGCCCCCGGCUCAACCGGGGAGGGUCAUUGGAAACUGGGAGACUUGAGUGCAGAAGAGGAGAGUGGAAUUCCAUGUGUAGCGGUGAAAUGCGUAGAUAUAUGGAGGAACACCAGUGGCGAAGGCGGCUCUCUGGUCUGUAACUGACGCUGAGGCUCGAAAGCGUGGGGAGCAAACAGG
RNAcentral lists this ribosomal RNA (429 nucleotides) under Chloroflexota bacterium. RNAcentral's name for it is "Chloroflexi bacterium partial 16S ribosomal RNA". It matches the Rfam family "Bacterial small subunit ribosomal RNA", at positions 355 to 776 of the family's 1533-position model. The record is from RNAcentral. RNAcentral also lists the same sequence under 1 other name. Lineage: Bacteria; Bacillati; Chloroflexota.